Bombyx mori (domestic silkworm) is the source of this 9678-nucleotide RNA transcript. It is a transcript of the gene named phosphatidylinositol 4-kinase type 2-beta, with no coding region annotated. NCBI's taxonomy places the organism in Eukaryota, Metazoa, Arthropoda, Insecta, Lepidoptera, Bombycidae. The record is from RefSeq and is a predicted model, not a curated record. The transcript has 11 exons.
AACUCUGUAGUCUCUGAUUAAGCACAACUGACUGACUGCUGAUUGAGUGAUUAAAGUAGUGUUUGUCAAGUGUAAAUGAUUGUGAAACAAAGAAAUUUAGACGAAAAUAAAUGAGGCUCGGUAAAACUACGACGUUUAACAUUACUCAUGAGUACGGAAGAGACUCUGUUGAAUCUCGAUUUCGACAAACCAAACACAACAACAGCACCGCCCGAUGACGGAGUGGUCUCGUUAUCCAGUAGUUCAGAAGAGAUUUGUUUAGUGCCAGAGGUCGAGUUCGAGGGCAAUCUGGAUUCUCCAGGAGUGAACCGCGAGUCGCAGCCGCUGCUUGGCGGCCGCGGCGACUUCGAAGUAUCCUUCAAUUACUUCCCAGAUGACCCCCAGUUCAGCGAGCUGGUGCUACAGGCGGAGACGGCCAUUGAUAACGGCAUAUUCCCGGAGAGGAUAUAUCAAGGAUCCAGCGGGUCGUACUUCGUAAAAAACGCGGGCGGGAAAAUCAUCGGCGUUUUCAAGCCGAAAGACGAAGAGCCCUACGGUCGUUUGAACCCCAAAUGGAUGAAAUGGAUGCACAAGCUUUGCUGCCCGUGUUGCUUCGGCCGCUCCUGUCUGAUCCCGAACCAGGGGUACUUGUCCGAGGCCGGUGCGAGCCUCGUAGAUUCCAAAAUAGGACUUAAAGUCGUGCCUAAGACUAAGGUAGUAAAAUUAGUAUCGGAAACGUUUAACUAUCUGCGCAUAGACCGAGAGAGGUCGCGUCUGAAGCGGGCCAUCACCGAGCAGUUCCCGAACUUGCGAUUCAACAGGAUGGGGCUGCCUCCUAAGAAAGGCUCAUUCCAGUUAUUCGUGGAGGGCUACAAGGACGCGGACUAUUGGCUCAGGAGGUUCGAGCAGGAGCCCCCGCCGCCGCACGUCAUGAAGAAGUUCCAGCUGCAGUUCGAGCGGCUCGUGGUGCUGGACUACAUCAUCCGGAACACGGACCGCGGCAACGACAACUGGCUCAUCAAGUACGAGGCGCCGCCCGGCCCGCGCGCCGACGCCGACCUGCGGGACCCCUCGGAGUGGUCGGGCGGGUGGGAGGUGCGCAUCGCGGCCAUCGACAACGGGCUCGCGUUCCCGUUCAAGCACCCGGACUCGUGGCGCGCCUACCCCUACCACUGGGCCUGGCUGCCGCACGCCAAGCUGCCCUUCAGCGACGAGACCAAGCAACUAGUACUUCCGCUGUUAUCCGACAUGAACUUCGUUCAGGAACUGUGCGACGAACUACAUUUGUUGUUUAAACAAGACAAGGGCUUCGACAAGGGUCUGUUCGAGCGGCAGAUGUCGGUGAUGCGCGGGCAGGUGCUCAACCUCACGCAGGCCCUCAAGGACGGCAAGAGUCCCGUGCAGCUGGUGCAGAUGCCGUGCGUGCUCGUCGAGAGGUAACCCAACCCCACCCACAUGUGCAGGGCGAGCUAUUUAACAACGUUAAAGAACUCGCACUAAGCACACUGACGGCAUCUAGUAACGCGCGGCGACUAUGGACAUGGACAAUGACACUUGUCGCGCGAAUCUGUUGACCCAUCGUUUCUUACUCGUACCUUAUUUAAUUUUUUUAAACACAAUUGUGACUAACACUCCCUUACUCGCGUUAUUGCUUAAUAUCCAUUGAACGUGAACCAGUCUGUUGCGUUAAUUUAAUUAAAAAAUGCAAUAAAUUUUUUUAAUUGACUGGGUGGUGCAGUAAUUAGCGGUCCCGACUGUUGCGUCGAGGGGCGCGGGUUCGAUUCCCACGUCGGGCAAACAUUCGCGUGAUGAACGGAUUUGUUUGCUAUUCGUCUGCAUGCUUUUUAUUUAUAUAUGUAUGUGGGAUUUUAUAUUCAGGUUGGGCCAGUGAAACGCUUGAUCACUUCACACAAACUUGAUUCUUUAUUUCGUCUUAAUCAUCUUAAUCUAUGUAACUAAAAUAUUAACGACUUGCUUCGUUAGAGUUACACCGCGUCUGUCGUUUGCAAAAUUACCUUAUGUUACAUUAAACCGAAUUGACAGCUGUUGACUAAAUCGGUAGUUAUUGUCGACAUUACCAUAAUUAACUAGGUCACAGCACUACCGCAUUCCUUAGGAUGGACAUUAACUCGCGCGCCUCCUGUAUGUAUUAAAGUCUCUGGUUGGUACCAGAGACUUUUUUAAGAUUCCCUAUAUUAGGGUUAAUAUAGGGAAUCUUAAUUUGGAGCCAGACGACUGUGCGUGAUUUGUUCCCAGUUAUACGUAUUAUUAUAAUUAACUAGACGUACUCGCCCGCUACGCUGAGCAUUUAAAAUUAGCAUUAUUAUUUAUUGUCAUUAUUAUUAGGGAGUCCAACACUCAUAUAAAUACUAGCCUAUCCAUUAAGUACAUGUAUUUUCUACAUGGCUACCAAGUUUCAAGUUAAUCGGAUGCAUGGUUCAGUAGUUAUAACGGAACAUCCGUAAAAACCACUGUAGUUUUAUAUAUUAGUAUAGAUAUACGGAACUCUUUAAUAACCUUAUAUUAAUUUAUUGUGAUGUGAAAUAAACAAAGCAAUAAUGAAGACAGUACAAAACGUCCAUUACUGAGAGCGGUCUCGUGGAAUGUUCCAGAUCAAAAGGCGGCUCCACCUCGUCUCGCUUCUUCGACUCAUUCCAGCAGAGGUUCCAGCAGAAGUCGCCCUUCUUCUCGUGGUGGUGAAGGACCUCACGAUCAUCUUGUUAAAAUAUGGUGAUAGUUCCACACGACGCUGAUGUAAUAGUGAACCACAUUUUAUAUUUAAUAUGUCGUAGGAUUAGUGUUAUGUUUUAAUAAAUUAAAUCGACGGGUGAAAGAUUAUUAAUGGAUUAACCGACGUUUUUGCUAAUUUACAGGAGAGCUAUUUAAAGUUUGAAUUUCGGCUAAAAUAGCAUAACAAAAAAAGCUUCUUUAGUUAUUCGAAACUUAAUUGAAAUUCAAUUAAAAAUAUCGAACUGUCGAUGCUAAUACCAAAUAAAACGGACCUUUAAUUACAAAGAUAAAUGUCGGUUAAAACCAAAAUAGCAUUUCACCUCUCGAUACAAUGCGGGGGACGAUUGUGACGUUUUGUGUUCAAACGUAAAUAUACGUAUAUAUACAUACUUGAAAACGUAGGAUGCGUUUGUUCGCGCGUUUGAAAAACAGUUAGCACUGGCGUCACACUUUGCCGAUUUUAAAUCGAAAAAUACCUUUGCCGAAAUUAAUCAAAUCAAAAAAAAAAUAUUCAACAUAAAUAUAAGUACAUACUUGUUGAACGUCAAAAUAAACUACUAUAAUUUAAUUUUUAAAAACUAACAACAACGCUUAGAGGUCAAGAAAUGAGAGCUAAGUUAUAAAAUGAUUGUAUUAUCAUCGGUCCUUGAUGCAAAUUUUCAAGUUAAAUGGACGACUUGAAUUCGAUAAGAAAUGAUAUUCGAGGAAUUUGACGCUACAUAUAAAGCUUGUAUAAAGAUUCAUUGGAAUAUUCCGAAAAUGCGUGCCCAGUACUCUCACGUAUAAGCCUUGAGGUAUAAAUGCGUGUGGUGGUGGCGCUGGUGCACUCACUAGCCGCAACCCACGUGGUUCUAAUGUGGCCACUCGGUGAUGAUACUUCCAAGGACAUAUACAGUCAUUAAUAUACUGAUUGAGGUCUGUUAGUAGCGAUAUACAAUUUCCUUGAAUAUCGAACUUUGAAACCACAAUCUUAAGCUCUAAUAAAACUAAUAAAUUAAUUAAUAAUUUAUAAAAAAAAAACAACAUUGUUUUUAAGAAACUAAGCAUAAGUACUAACAUUCAUUUCCUGAGUCCGUUAACUAAACCGAAGGUAGUUUUCGAAUGUCACGCGAGACGAAGGGUCGAUGACCCCAUGCAUCAGCUGUUUUUAUAAAUUUAACUAUACAUGGCGUUUUUUUUUUUCUAAUUUUGUCGCGCCUAUAAUAUAAUAGUACUCGAUCUGUCUCCCGUGUGCUUAGUUCGAGUUUUUUAACUUUCUCGAUAGCGUAAGAGUUAACUCAAAUUGUUAUGGAAUUGGGACGUUUGCGUACGUUUGCCGCUAGAGGCGCUGUUCCAACUGCAUACAAAUUUGAGUUAACUUUUACGCUAUCGAGACAGUAAAAAAACUCGCACUAAGCACACUGAUUCCGUUGUCAGGCUGUGAAUUCCAAGAUGUGAGUUUUUGUUUGUUAAUAUAAAACUUAUCGAUGUUUUUUUUUUAAUAUGCUAAUCUCUAAAAUUAAGACGAAAACGUCACAAUCGCACCCGAUAUAUUUGUAGCUUAGAUCAAUUCUGUUAAUAAUAUAUUUACUGUGACAUAAUUAUUUUUAAAACCUUCCUUAUACCUGUAAUGUAAUGUCUUCAUACUGAAUUCGAUUUGUUUAUUGUGUGUGAAAUAUAAUAUUUUUUGUAUCAUUUUUUUGUAAAUUAUCUCGUGUCUUUCAAUAAUCUGUCUCGUCUAUUUUUCGGAAGGUAGCAUUACCUUUUGUUUGGGGAGUUUUUUUUUUUUAUAAUGGCAAUUAUUAAGUUUUUUUUUUAAAUAUAGUAACAAUCAACCGCGCUAUCUUUAAUGUCUGAUGUCGCAUUAUCACUUUUAGGUGCGACUCUAUUAAUAAUAUUUACAUAUCGAGGGGUGAAAGCCUAUUUGGUUUAAGCUACACUUUUGAAACUUUACAGAAGAAUCGAAAAGUUUAAAAUUUGAAAAAAAUAUUAUGAAAAAAAACGUCAUCUGUUCAUCUUCAGUUAUUUGAAUGAUGUAAACUUAAUUGAAGUUCGAUUGAAAACAAUUGAAUUGUUGAUGCUAAUCACUACAUAGUAUAAAACAAAGUCGCUUUUUCCCGCGAUAUCUGUCUGUCCCUAUGUAUGCUUACAUCUUUAAAACUACGCAACGGAUUUUGAUGCAGUUUUUUUUUAAUAAUAAUAAUAAUUAUUAUUUAUUUAUUAACCUUGAAACAUUUACACAUAACAGUUUGCUAAAAACUCUCCACACUAGGCACUGCCUGUCUCGUGGAGAGUUUUUUUACAGGAGUAUCUUAAAACUAGUAAUAACUAUAAUGAUUGAAGAGGAAAGUUUAUAUGUAUAAUAACAUCCAUUAAAUAGUGGAGAAAUCAAUAAUAAAUUACAGUUUCCGAAGCGAAGCAAGGGCGGGUCGCUAGUAACAAAUAAAACGGACCUUUGAUUACAAAGAUAAAUGUCGCGUAUUAAACGAAUAGCUUUUCACCCCUCGAUAUGUUUUUAAGUGAAUUAAAACUACAUUAAUGCCGGAUUUAUUUAUUUAAUCGAUUCCUUCAUCAAUCAUUCUGGGGCCACUUAACGAUUUUUUUAGUAUAAUAAAGAGACAUUUUUUUUGUUGUUUUUUCAACAACUAUUACGCAAUUUUUUUUAUUGGUUUCUUCGUUUUUCAUGCCGAUACUUGAUUCAAAGUGAAAUUCGGACAUGAGAUUGUAGCUGCGUCAGUCCAAUUUUUUUUUCCUACCUAUUUUAGUGACCUCGAGGGGUCAUACUAGAUUCACUGAGUGAGGAGUCCAAUAACGUGGUGUCUCAAGUAACAAGGAAGGCCACCACAGAAACUCCUGUACCUCACUCUCCUUCUUCGUCGCUUUCUUCUUAUUACCGAAGGUCGUGUCUCUGUAACUUGACCUUCGCCUGUCUGAUGAGCUGUUUCCACCUCGUCCAGUCCUCAGCUUCUCGAUUGGCGAUUACGAAUCACCAAACUCAAUAAUCUCGUUUUCUUUUUCUAUUUAUCAUCCAUAUGCUGGGUGUUAGGAGACCGCUUCAGAAAACGAAAAUUUUGUACCUACAAAGUUGUAAGGGGAGCGCGGUAUCAGCGCCGCGCCCGGGAGUUCGUUGACCCGAGCAUCAGCUGCUUUAGAUUUUGUGUUUCAUUGCUGGGUUUUUUUAAAGUAAAAUAAUGUAUUUUUUAUGAAGCUAUCGUUUCAUUUAGUUGUACUAACAUCUUAGAUGGGUGGACGAUCUCACAGCCCCCCUGGUGUUAAGUGGUUGCUGGAGCCCAUAGACAUCUACAACGUAAAUGGCGCCACCCACCUUGAGAUAUGAGUUCUAAGGUCAAUGUGUUUCUUUUUCGUUAAUAUGUUUCUUUUUUAUCUCCUUAUAAAAUGUAAGCAACACAUAAUAUACGUCUUGUACAUAAUGAAAAAAAUAAUAAUUAAAUCCUUUAAAAUAGACACCCUGGUUCGAUGUAAUAUAGAAGCCUCUUCGCAACGAUCAAAUUAUGUUUUGGACUUGUUCUUUUUUAUUUUUUUGUUAUAGAUAACAAAAACUAAUUUCGAUUUUAAGCGUUCAUAGUACAAUUGUGUAAAAUGUAAAAAUCCGAACUUUGUACAUUAUUAAUCAAUUUAAAUGUUCAAUUACUUUUUUUUGUUGAUCGAUUUUUAUAAUACGAUUGUCGAUAAUGAUUAUGAAUGUAAUAUGCUAUAAUUAAAACUGUAUUUAGGAUAAAUUAAUGUCUUUAUCACUACAUAGUAUAAAACAAAGUCGCUUUCUCUGUCCCUAUAUCUGUCUGUCCCUAUGUAUGCUUAAAUCUCUAAAACUACGCAACGGAUUUUGAUGCGGUUUUUUUUAAAUAGAUAGAGUGAUUGAAGAGGAAGGUUUAUAUGUAUAAUAACAUCCGUUAAAUAGUGAAGAGAUCAAUAAUAAAUUACAGUUUCCGAAGCGAAGCGAGCGCGGAUCGCUAGUAUUAUUAUAAAAGAUCAUUUAAAACUAUAUUUACGGUUAAUUAAUGUCUUUGUAUUAUAAAAGAUCUAACGGAUGUCUUACAGUGUUCGUGAAACUAUUUAAGUGUUGUGCGUCGAAAUUAGAUUUUUUUAUUGCUUAGAUGGGUAAACGAGCUCACAGCCCAUUUUGUGUUAAGUAGUUACUGGAGCCCAUAGACAUCUACAACGUAAAUGCGCCACCCACCUUGACAUAUAAGUUCUAAGGUCUCAAGUAUAGUUACAACGGCUGCCCCAUCCUUCAAAUUUUGCAGACUACCGUCAGUUCGAGGCGUCGGUUAAAAAAAGAUGUAUAACACGUUCAAUUCUCUAUUUUAGUAAAUAAUAACAGUAAAGAUUUUUUUUAUUGUAGGCAGACGAGAAUACGGCCCACCUGAUGGUGAGUGGUUGUCGUCGCCCGUGGACUUCAGCAAUGCCAGAGGCAGAGCCAAGCCGCCGCUUACCGUUAAGUAUAUGUAUGUACAACACUAAAUCACAGUAAUAUAGAAUCCAGUAUCGGGCAUAACGUGGGAGGAGCUAAAAUAGACUGCCCAAGACCGAUGCAAAUGAGAGGAUUUGAUUAUCCAAUCAAUGCCUUACCCUGCAACCCAGCAGAGGGUAAUAGGAAAGAAUGAAAAAAAAGAAGAAAUCAUUCCACAUUUAAAAAAAAAAACGUUAUCGACAAUCGUAUUGAUAAAUAUAUACCUAUCGAGAAGUGAAAAGGUUAUUUGGUAUAAGCGACAUUUUUGCAACUUUACCAAAGAGCCAUUUAAAGUUUAAAAUUUAGUAAAACAAUUUUGGUCAUAACAAAAACACUUCGGCUUUUUGAAUGUGGUAAACAUAAUUGAAGUUAAAUUAAAAACAUCGAACACAUGUUGAUGUUAACAACUUUAAUUACAAAAGUUAAAUGUCGAUUAAACCAAAUAGCUUUUCGCUUUUCGAUAAUUAAUAGUGAUGUGUAAGUUUUUGUAUCGAUAUAAGUAAUAGUGAUUAAUUACAACAUAAUAUAUCACACGUGUAUAGUUAAUUAAAUGUAUUGGGAGACAAAAAUGUGAGACUAUUAAAAUAUUUGUUUACAGGAAGAAAUUACUGUUUCGUGUUCUUUGUUUUUUUUUUUCAUUGUCCUUUUUUCUUACUCUUAACUUCAUUGGAAAAUUAGUUCGAAUUCGAAUUAUUAUAAUUAAUUUACUGUAAAUUAUUACAAAAUAUUUAUUUUCGUAUAGUGUCUCGCUUGAUUCGUGUCUAAAAUGUUCAGUCUCUAAUCUAAGAGAGGCGACAGUGUUAGGAACCACGUGUCAUAAACAGUGACAGUAAGGGCAUGUCCGCACUGCGAUAUUCCACCGUGAGAUUUUUAUUCUAGCGUAUUAAAUUCCGCGAUCGGAAUUACAUAUUAGUGCGCACUGCGAAUAAAAUUUCGUAUUAUUUUUGUCAGUUUAAUUCAGCUCUCGGCUGAGACGCACGCGUAAAAUGAACAACUGGUCGUAGGACCUCUUGUGAGUCCGCACGGGUAGGUACCACCACUCUGCCUAUUUCUGCCUUGAAGCAGUAAUGCGUUUCGGUUUGAAGGGUGGGGCAGCCGUUGUAAUUAUACUUGAGACCUUAUAACUUAUAUCAAGGUGGGUGGCGCAUUUACGUUGCAGAUGUCUAUGGGCUCCCCUAACCACUUAACAGCAGGUGGACUGUGAGCUCGUCCACCCAUCUAAGCAAUAUAUAAAAAAUAAAAAAAAGCAACCGAACUAAAAUUUCAAUUUAUCUAAUAAUAAAGCGGCGUAUCAGACUUAUCAAAAGAUGUCUCAUGAACAUUGCAUUCACCCACUUACGGCAUUGAGACCCAUGAAACUGAGCGAAACGCGCGAAUUUUAUUCCGCAGCGCGAACAUAGCCAUACUUACUUUAUACAUAUCGACGCUUGAAAGGCAAACGUGACUAAGCGACAAUGUGUGAACUUUACAGUAGACUAAUUUAAAGUUGAAAUACCUGAAAACAAAAUUUAUUUUGACGAAUCUAGCUGUAGUAGAAUCUAGCUAGUAGCUGUAGGAUUGAAAUGAUUUUAAUAGACCUAAAAGUAGAUUUUUUUGGGCAUCGAAUAUGGUUAUUGCCUAUCAUUUAUGUACAAAACAGUUAUUGUCGCUUAGUCACGUUUGCCUUUCAAGCGUCGAUAUGGUACAAAAUAAUCCCGCGGAAAUAACUUGCACCGCUUCGCAUUCAAUUUGGAUGAAUCACAGAUUUUUUCCCGCACCAUUUUAUUUUGACCACCAGUGCGUUGAAUGUGUUACAGAAUUACGAGAGAAAAAAAACACGCGGUGAAAUAUCGCACAAGUGCGGACAAAGCCUUAUUCACAAGUUUGGCAGCCGCCUAUUGAUACAAGUAGAAGUCAAUAGUCAGACUUUUUCCUGCACCAUUUUUUUACCACCAGUUCGUUGAAUGUGUUACAGAAUUACGAGAAAAAAAAAACGCGCUGUAAAAUAUCGCAUUGCGUACACGGCCUUAUACACAAGUUUGCCAGCCGCCGAUUGAUACAAGUAGAAGUCAAUAGUCAGACUUUUUCCUGCACCAUUUUUUUACCACCAGUUCGUUGAAUGUGUUACAGAAUUACGAGAAAAAAAAAACGCGCUGUAAAAUAUCGCAUUGCGUACACGGCCUUAUACACAAGUUUGCCAGCCGCCGAUUAGUGCAAGUGAAAGUCAAUAGUCAGACUUCUCUUGUUCAAUUCCGCCAUUUUUAUUUUAGACAAACGAAAAAAAUCAUAAAUCAGAUACGAGACUGUAUCCCGUACGUGUUACUUCGCUAAUGUUCUUACAGUUCUAUAGAACUUAUUCGUAUAUUUUUUUCUGUAAAUGAAUAGUGUUUCUUCCUGAAAACUCAUUAGCCAAUAAUAAUAAUAAUUUCCGUAAUGUAAAUAUCGAUCGUUAUAUAUAUAUAGCCUCAUUUAAAAUAUUACAUUUAACGCAUAUUAUUAUUUAAUUAUGAAGAUAAAUAUAUAAUCACCAUUGCAUUUUA